RNAcentral lists this ribosomal RNA (492 nucleotides) under uncultured bacterium. RNAcentral's name for it is "partial 16S ribosomal RNA". It matches the Rfam family "Bacterial small subunit ribosomal RNA", at positions 29 to 507 of the family's 1533-position model. The record is from RNAcentral.
AGUGAACGCUGGCGGUAGGCCUAACACAUGCAAGUCGAACGGCAGCACAGUAAGAGCUUGCUCUUACGGGUGGCGAGUGGCGGACGGGUGAGGAAUACAUCGGAAUCUACUUUUUCGUGGGGGAUAACGUAGGGAAACUUACGCUAAUACCGCAUACGACCUACGGGUGAAAGCAGGGGAUCUUCGGACCUUGCGCGAUUGAAUGAGCCGAUGUCGGAUUAGCUAGUUGGCGGGGUAAAGGCCCACCAAGGCGACGAUCCGUAGCUGGUCUGAGAGGAUGAUCAGCCACACUGGAACUGAGACACGGUCCAGACUCCUACGGGAGGCAGCAGUGGGGAAUAUUGGACAAUGGGCGAAAGCCUGAUCCAGCCAUACCGCGUGAGUGAAGAAGGCCUUCGGGUUGUAAAGCCCUUUUGUUGGGAAAGAAAAGCAGCAGGUUAAUACCCCGCUGUUCUGACGGUACCCAAAGAAUAAGCACCGGCUAACUUCGUG